AAUGAACGUUGGCGGCGUGGAUUAGGCAUGCAAGUCGAGCGAGAAUCGUAGCAAUACGAGGACAGCGGCGAAAGGGAGAGGAAUACGUAGAAAUCUACCCCUGAGACCGGGAUAGCGUCGGGAAACUGGCAGUAAUACCGGAUAAUGUCUUAGGACCAAAGGUGUGAUUCCACUUGGGGAUGAGUCUACGCCCUAUUAGCUAGUUGGUGGGGUAAUGGCCUACCAAGGCGAUGAUGGGUAGCGGGUGGGAGAGCAUGACCCGCCUCACUGGGACUGAGAACUGCCCAGACACCUACGGGUGGCUGCAGUCGAGAAUCUUUGUCAAUGGACGAAAGUCUGAACAAGCGACGCCGCGUGCGGGAUGAAGGCCUUCGGGUUGUAAACCGCUGUCGUAGGGGAACAAAUGUACGGGGGUACUCCCCUGUAUUUGAGUGAUCCUAGGAGGAAGGAGAGGCUAAGCUCGUGCCAGCAGCCGCCGUAA
RNAcentral lists this ribosomal RNA (481 nucleotides) under uncultured bacterium. Its description in RNAcentral is "partial 16S ribosomal RNA". It matches the Rfam family "Bacterial small subunit ribosomal RNA", at positions 29 to 523 of the family's 1533-position model. The record is from RNAcentral.